RNAcentral lists this ribosomal RNA (442 nucleotides) under Olivibacter sp. Its description in RNAcentral is "bacterial SSU rRNA". It matches the Rfam family "Bacterial small subunit ribosomal RNA", at positions 28 to 467 of the family's 1533-position model. Lineage: Bacteria; Pseudomonadati; Bacteroidota; Sphingobacteriia; Sphingobacteriales; Sphingobacteriaceae. The record is from RNAcentral.
GAUGAACGCUAGCGGCAGGCCUAAUACAUGCAAGUCGGACGGGAUUCAAUAGCUUGCUAUUGAUGAGAGUGGCGCACGGGUGCGUAACGCGUGAGCAACCUGCCCAUUUCAGGGGGAUAGCCCGGAGAAAUCCGGAUUAAGACCGCAUAUGAUCACGUUACCGCAUGGUAGAGUGAUGAAAUAUUUAUAGGAAAUGGAUGGGCUCGCGUGACAUUAGCUAGUUGGUAGGGUAACGGCCUACCAAGGCGACGAUGUCUAGGGGCUCUGAGAGGAGAAUCCCCCACACUGGUACUGAGACACGGACCAGACUCCUACGGGAGGCAGCAGUAAGGAAUAUUGGUCAAUGGGGGGAACCCUGAACCAGCCAUGCCGCGUGCAGGAAGACGGCCCUACGGGUUGUAAACUGCUUUUGCACGGGAAUAACCCUCAUUAUGUAUAAUGA